UACGGAGGAUGCGAGCGUUAUCCGGAUUUAUUGGGUUUAAAGGGUGCGUAGGCGGAACAAUAAGUCAGUGGUGAAAGACUGCAGCUUAACUGUAGACUUGCCGUUGAUACUGUUGAUCUUGAGUAUGGUCAAGGCAGGCGGAAUGUGUAAUGUAGCGGUGAAAUGCUUAGAUAUUACACAGAACACCGAUUGCGAAGGCAGCUUGCUGGGCCAUUACUGACGCUGAUGCACGAAAGCGUGGGGAUCGAACAGG
RNAcentral lists this ribosomal RNA (253 nucleotides) under uncultured bacterium. RNAcentral describes it as "partial 16S ribosomal RNA". It matches the Rfam family "Bacterial small subunit ribosomal RNA", at positions 524 to 776 of the family's 1533-position model. The record is from RNAcentral. RNAcentral also lists the same sequence under 1 other name.